Molecule: small RNA, 409 nt
Filed under: Pectobacterium atrosepticum SCRI1043
Lineage: Bacteria; Pseudomonadati; Pseudomonadota; Gammaproteobacteria; Enterobacterales; Pectobacteriaceae
Description: cspA thermoregulator
Rfam family: cspA thermoregulator
Source: Rfam by way of RNAcentral
GUCGGUUUGGUUCGCAGACCUAAAAAGCAGUUUAGUAAAGCAGUUCUCAUUUCAAAGUGUUAUCCAUAGAUAUCCCUUCUUUGAGCCUCCUUAUUGUUGCUAAUUAAAUUCUGUGCACAGGCCCUAUUCCGCCGGAAGGCACUAUAAAAAAUUAAGGUAAUUUCUAUGUCUAAUAAAAUGACUGGUUUAGUAAAAUGGUUUGACGCUGGUAAAGGUUUUGGUUUCAUUACUCCUGACAACGGUAGCAAAGAUGUAUUCGUACAUUUCUCUGCUAUUCAGAGCAACGAUUUCAAAACUCUGGACGAAGGCCAAAAAGUUGAGUUCACCAUUGAAAAUGGUCAGAAAGGCCCAUCAGCUGGCAACGUUGUUGCGCUGUAAUUGAAUUAAUAUUUCUCUUGCGAUAGCGAUG